GAUCUUUCGAUAGCCCAUAUCUAAUUUCGUACAUUCUAUUCGUCAUCAUGGAUCUCGUGCUGAAGGCAAAUGUUUUAUCUAAUUGCAGUGGGGAUGACUAUGCCAUCCGCUGUUCGGAAACCGUACGGUUUGGUACUUCUCAAGGCGCGUCAUACCUCCUGUCAUCGUCUUGGCUAGACACGUGGCGAUGGAUGGAAGGAGCAGGCAGCGUUUGCGCUACGACGCUGCUGAUCUGAUCCGGUGUAGAAUAUUGAGUGUGGGCUUGCCCAAGCGGAGAGGCUUCGACACGCCUUCCGAGAGAGUGCGACGUGGCGAUGGAAAUAUCGUGGCAGCUUCGCUGCACUUAAAUUCAACGCCACCUACUGCUUACGAAAUGGUACCCUGCUGACCUAUAAUUACUGGAACGCCACAAUGACCCACUAAAAUAUUAGUGCGCAAGAGCAUGCUUCUUCAGCGCCGACUAACAGUUUCGUCUUCGAAUUCAUCAGCAUGAAACAAAUGAAUCGAGUUCCUCCGCCUCAUGCCGACAGCCGAACAGUUUCACUUACAUCACUAUCUUCGUCUUUUAACAUUAUGAAAUUUCAUUGCAUUAUUUGAUACUUAUGUUAUUCACACUUGUACUGGCAAUGGCGUUCUUGUAGUUACAGCAUAAGGACGGCCCAUUCUUUCAUGCCCUUUUCCUUCUAUUAAACGCAAGGAAGGGAAGAUAAGUACGACCGAGGAACGGAGAGACUUGGGCGGUCCAACGAUGUUGCCUGGGGUGGAGUUGGCACGGAAGCGAAGAAUCCACCAUCGCCACGAGGUGGGGACACCGCCGAACCUGCCGUCGUCCGCGCGCCUUCCGUUUUCCGACCGUCUGCCUGCUGCGGCCAUGGACGAGCCGACGCUCGCCGCCCGCCUCCGUCUGGAGGAGAAGCUUCGGGGCCUUAUGGGCUCCCGACGGCCGUCUCCCUCCUCCUCUCCGCCAUCCAUCAGGUCAAAUAUAGAAGAGAUCUCGACGCUUCCCGCAGCGGCUGGCAAUAUCACAACGAGGGUAAUCGCUACUGAACUCCCUAAGCGACGGAGUAACAGUGUUGCGCUUCAGAGGACGGGCUCCAGGGCCGAUCUGUGCGCGGUGUGCCUCGACGAGGUCCAGGCGAAGCAGAGGGUCACACGGCUUCCUUGCUCCCACAAGUACCACACCGAAUGCGUGCUGCCAUGGCUGGCUGCUCAUUCGCACUGCCCAUGUUGUAGAAGCCAAGUUCCUUCGUCGGAUCAGAUCUCAUAGUACUCACAUGUUUAGGGUUGUGCUGACGAGGGUAGAUUGGAGGGAGGGUUGAUGGUGUGAAGCAGGGUGGAGGUCUGCAACACGAACCUGUUCUUUGAUUGUUUCAUAUGAAGUAAUCCCAUCCUCUUUUAAGUAGUGCUCAA
Long non-coding RNA from Musa acuminata AAA Group (dessert banana), 1410 nucleotides. RefSeq lists it as uncharacterized. NCBI's taxonomy places the organism in Eukaryota, Viridiplantae, Streptophyta, Magnoliopsida, Zingiberales, Musaceae. The record is from RefSeq and is a predicted model, not a curated record. The transcript is spliced from 2 exons.